This 354-nucleotide unclassified non-coding RNA is filed under the name Hevea brasiliensis (rubber tree). Lineage: Eukaryota; Viridiplantae; Streptophyta; Magnoliopsida; Malpighiales; Euphorbiaceae. The record is from RNAcentral.
GUACUUGGUAGGAGUUCCACAGGUAUGGUUUUCUCUCUUACCCUUCCCAAAUUUUUCUUUGGGUGGACUGGACCAGAAUUGAUGUGUACUUAUUUCCUCACUCCUUUUUUUAUGCAUGCAUGUUAUUUAUGUAUAUUUGUGCAUUUUUUGGUGAUGAAAUUAUUAUUAUAGUCUUUCAUUUCUGAAGCUGAAGAUUGACAGUAUUCUAGUCUGCCUAAACGAUAAAUCUAAAAAAUUGAUAUGCAUUUAAAAUAUCUAUUUGGCCUUCAGAAAAAUGUACAUAAUUAAGCUUCACUAUCUUCAUAGAACUGAUCUCCUUGUAUAUCCCCCCCUCUGGUGCAGGUUUUACUAGAU